This is a long non-coding RNA of Pteronotus mesoamericanus, 217 nucleotides long. RefSeq lists it as uncharacterized. The record is from RefSeq and is a predicted model, not a curated record. Lineage: Eukaryota; Metazoa; Chordata; Mammalia; Chiroptera; Mormoopidae. The transcript has 4 exons.
GUAACGAUGGUGCCAGCUUUCCAGAGGAGACAUGACUACCUAAAUGAGUGGAAUUUUAAACCAAUCAGCCUGGAAUUUCCUGAUCAACAGCAGUGAAGUAACCUGCCUGGCUGGCACUCAAACCACUGAGCCACACCAGCCAGGGCCGACAAUGUUUUUUUAAUGAAGGUCUUUUCUACACCCCCCCUAUCUUGUUGACUUAAUUUUAUUUUUUGAA